GCGUUGUUCGGAUUCAUUGGGCGUAAAGGAUGCGUAGGUGGCGGGGUAAGUCAGGUGUGAAAUUUCGGAGCUCAACUCCGAAACUGCAUUUGAUACUGCCUUGCUUGAGGACUGGAGAGGAGACUGGAAUUUACGGUGUAGCAGUGAAAUGCGUAGAGAUCGUAAGGAAGACCAGUGGCGAAGGCGGGUCUCUGGACAGUUCCUGACACUGAGGCGCGAAGGCCAG
This 226-nucleotide ribosomal RNA is filed under the name uncultured bacterium. RNAcentral's name for it is "partial 16S ribosomal RNA". It matches the Rfam family "Bacterial small subunit ribosomal RNA", at positions 538 to 763 of the family's 1533-position model. The record is from RNAcentral.